GUGUAUCUAGUAGCCAUGCUAUAUAUAGUGUAUCUAGUAGCCAUGCUAUAUAUAGUGUAUCUAGUAGCCAUGCUAUAUAUAGUGUAUCCAGUAGCCAUGUAAUAUAUAGUGUAUACAGUAGCCAUGCUAUAUAUAGUGUAGAGGCCAUGCUAUAUAUAGUGUAUCUAGUAGCCAUGCUAUAUAUAGUGUAGAGGCCAUGCUAUAUAUAGUGUAUCUAGUAGCCAUGCUAUAUAUAGUGUAGAGGCCAUGCUAUAUAUAGUGUAUCUAGUAGCCAUGCUAUAUAUAGUGUAUCUAGUAGCCAUGCUAUAUAUAGUGUAUCUAGUAGUCAUGCUCUAUAUAGUGUAUCUAGUAGCCAUGCUAUAUAUAGUGUAGAGGCCAUGCUAUAUAUAGUGUAUCUAGUAGCCAUGCUAUAUAUAGUGUAUCUAGAAGCCAUGCUAUAUAUAGUGUAUCUAGUAGCCAUGCCAUAUAUAGUGUAGAGGCCAUGCUAUAUAUAGUGUAUCUAGCAGCCAUGCUAUAUAUAGUGUAGAGGCCAUGCUAUAUAUAGUGCAGAGGCCAUGCUAUAUAUAGUGUAUCCAGCAGCCACGCCAUAUAGUGCAUCCAGCAGCCAUGCCAUAUAUAGUGUAUCCAGUAGCCAUGCUAUAUAUAGUGCAGAGGCCAUGCCAUAUAUAGUGUAUCCAGUAGCCAUGCCAUAUAUAGUGUAUCGAGGCCACGCUAUAUAUAGUGUAUCCAGUAGCCAUGCCAUAUAUAGUGUAGAGCAGCCAUGCUAUAUAUAGUGCAUCCAGUAGCCACGCCAUAUAUAGUGUAUCCAGCAGCCAUGCCAUAUAUAGUGUAUCUAGUAGCCAUGCCAUAUAUAGUGUAUCUAGUAGCCAUGCUAUAUAUAGUGUAUCCAGCAGCCAUGCCAUAUAUAGUGCAGAGGCCAUGCUAUAUAUAGUGUAUCCAGUAGCCAUGCCAUAUAUAGUGUAUCUAGCAGCCAUGCUAUAUAUAGUGUAUCCAGUAGCCACGCUAUAUAUAGUGUAGAGCCAUGCUAUAUAUAGUGUAUCUAGUAGCCAUGCUAUAUAUAGUGUAGAGGCCAUGCUAUAUAUAGUGUAUCUAGUAGCCAUGCUAUAUAUAGUGUAGAGGCCACGCCAUAUAUAGUGUAUCUAGUAGCCAUGCUAUAUAUAGUGUAUCUAGUAGCCAUGCCAUAUAUAGUGUAUCCAGUAGCCAUGCUAUAUAUAGUGUAUCCAGUAGCCAUGCUAUAUAUAGUGUUGAGA
RNAcentral lists this long non-coding RNA (1250 nucleotides) under Salmo salar (Atlantic salmon). RNAcentral's name for it is "lncRNA (ENSSSAG00000099191.1)". The record is from RNAcentral. Lineage: Eukaryota; Metazoa; Chordata; Actinopteri; Salmoniformes; Salmonidae.